AAGGAAAUCCAGGAAGACCCAUGGGACAGAUUACUGUAACUCAGCUCAGAAGACACAGUUCUACUCCUCACUGCAUUUCUGCAGUGGGUUGCAGAAUAAAUUCCUCCAUCUUCCUAAACCUGCUGUAUUCCCCGAAUAAGAUUCAGGUGCAGAAAUUAGGUCCAAACAAUUGGCUACUUGUGAGAACACACACAGAGAUGAAUCAACCUGUACCCUGAACCUGAAGCCAAUACAUACACUUCUGAAGGAAGCAUCCAAAUAACAGAUCUUCCACUUGUUCUACAUACCCAGACACUGAAACUACUCAGAAGUGUGGGGAGGAGAUGUUGAGAAAUCCCUUAUUUAUCGACUCCCGGAAAAUUAGAUUCACAUGUUACGCACGAAUAAGUUUUUCUGAAUACCUGUCUGGUGCGUCACCAGUCGAUGGCUAAGGAUGAGAAAUACCUAACUCUACAGGCGGCAAAGGACAUAUGUGGCAAGGUGUCUGAUGAUGAGAAAUGAAGGAGGAGGCAAAGAAAGGACCAGAUAUUAUGGUAUUAAACACAACAACAGUAGGAAUUGAGCCAUUAUACAUGUAAGCACUGAGACUCACAGGUGCCAAGGAAUCUAUCCAAGGGUCACACACAAAAAUGUGGCAGAUCCAAGACUCAGAUCCAAGUUGAUCAACCUCAAAAUGGGCAUUUAUACCUAAGUAGUUAGAAUUUGCUGUAUUGUAAAAAUCUGGGGCACUUUCUUCAUGAGAACCUCAGGUCAUGAAACAUAAUGGCUAUGCAUUUCCUGGGCUGCAGAGGAAAGAACUAGAUUGAGAACAACCAGUCGUCGCUCAAUGACUAUCUAUUGUACGUGUAGCACUGUUUUCGGUCCUGAACCGAAACAGCAAACCCGAGAGAAAAGAACUGAUAAUCAAGCACAUCGCGCACGUAACAGCCGUGAUCACAAAAUAUUUGUUGAGUUAGUGGAUGAAUGACUGAGCGAAUGCCUAUGUCAAUAUUGUGACCCUUGGACUCUAAGUUUACUAGAAUAUUAACAUAUCUACAUGAUGGGGGACACCUGGGUGGCUCAGGUGGUUAAGCAUCCAACUGUUGGUUUCAGCUCAGAUCAUGAUCUCAUGGUUCAUGAGUUCGAGUCCGCAUCAGGUUCUGCGCUGACAGUGCGGAGCCUGCUUGGGAUUCUUUCUC
Neofelis nebulosa (Clouded leopard) is the source of this 1178-nucleotide long non-coding RNA. RefSeq lists it as uncharacterized. The transcript is spliced from 3 exons. NCBI's taxonomy places the organism in Eukaryota, Metazoa, Chordata, Mammalia, Carnivora, Felidae. The record is from RefSeq and is a predicted model, not a curated record.